CCUGUGCUCUACGGCGUGUCCCCGGAUGGACAGACAGUAUUCUAAUAGAGUAAUGAAGCUUGAUGGUAUGGAAAUCAGCAUCGGCCUUGACCUUCUAUUCAUAGUGUAUGAACUCUGACUCUCCACUUUGGUAGGACUCACCCAGAACACCAUCAAUCAAGAGGCCACGCCAAACUGAGUUACAAGAGAACUUCUUAAAGUCAUUCUUCGACACAGCCUCUUCAGGCCACACAACGAGUGUCGUAUGAGCAAAGUGUCGUGGUACUGACAGACGGACUUUCUGGUGAUAUGCUCCCCUCAGAGCCCAGCCCAUGCCCCUGGCGGUGUGCCGAUAGCCCCUCCGCUACCUUGCCGACAGACCCCGAGAGGAGAAGAUCUGGAUCCUAUCUGAGGUGGCUCGAUGACAGUGGUAUAUAAGGUGAUUGCGUCGCUUCAGCGAAUGACCGCCACGUCCAGCCAAGGCGCCCUCCCUACUUGCACAUUUUCCGUGGGAAACAACUCAGGCUCCCAACUGCACCUGUCACGCUGCCCCCGCUGCAGCCCAGACAAAUGUUUCUGGCCACCCCGAAGGGAUGCUUUAGCUGACUUUUCCACAGCUGGGGAUGCAGUCUCGCCCUUUUCCGAUCUCGUGCUUUUGGAAGGGGCUCCGUUCUCUCUUGGCCCCCACCCCUCCCCCCCUCCCCGGAUCAAAUACCAAGUGCGCCAGACGGACGGGACAGAAG
Lynx canadensis (Canada lynx) is the source of this 722-nucleotide long non-coding RNA. RefSeq lists it as uncharacterized. NCBI's taxonomy places the organism in Eukaryota, Metazoa, Chordata, Mammalia, Carnivora, Felidae. The transcript is spliced from 4 exons. The record is from RefSeq and is a predicted model, not a curated record.